This 227-nucleotide ribosomal RNA is filed under the name uncultured bacterium. Its description in RNAcentral is "partial 16S ribosomal RNA". It matches the Rfam family "Bacterial small subunit ribosomal RNA", at positions 383 to 607 of the family's 1533-position model. The record is from RNAcentral.
CUGAACCAGCCAAGUAGCGUGAAGGAUGACUGCCCUAUGGGUUGUAAACUUCUUUUAUACGGAAAUAAAGUGAGCCACGUGUGGCUUUUUGUAUGUACCGUAUGAAUAAGGAUCGGCUAACUCCGUGCCAGCAGCCGCGGUAAUACGGAGGAUCCGAGCGUUAUCCGGAUUUAUUGGGUUUAAAGGGAGCGUAGGCGGACGCUUAAGUCAGUUGUGAAAGUUUGCGG